AUGAACUCCGGGAGAGAGACCUGCUACGGGCGCCGAAGGGGACAAGGUGGAAAUUCCACCGAAACUCUCAGGCAAAAGUAUCCCGGGGGGACG
Molecule: non-coding RNA, 93 nt
Filed under: Halothermothrix orenii
Lineage: Bacteria; Bacillati; Bacillota; Clostridia; Halanaerobiales; Halothermotrichaceae
Also listed under: 1 other name
Description: Glycine sequence
Rfam family: Glycine riboswitch aptamer
About the family: This family represents the bacterial glycine riboswitch. Glycine riboswitches usually consist of two metabolite-binding aptamers domains with similar structures in tandem.
Source: RNAcentral